This 465-nucleotide ribosomal RNA is filed under the name uncultured bacterium. Its description in RNAcentral is "partial 16S ribosomal RNA". It matches the Rfam family "Bacterial small subunit ribosomal RNA", at positions 28 to 507 of the family's 1533-position model. The record is from RNAcentral.
GACGAACGCUGGCGGCGUGCUUAACACAUGCAAGUCGAACGGAAAGGCCCUGCUUGCAGGGUACUCGAGUGGCGAACGGGUGAGUAACACGUGGGUGAUCUGCCCCGCACUUCGGGAUAAGCCUGGGAAACUGGGUCUAAUACCGGAUAGGAGCCAUUUUUAGUGUGAUGGUUGGAAAGUUUUUUCGGUGUAGGAUGAGCUCGCGGCCUAUCAGCUUGUUGGUGGGGUAAUGGCCUACCAAGGCGGCGACGGGUAGCCGGCCUGAGAGGGUGGACGGCCACAUUGGGACUGAGAGACGGCCCAGACUCCUACGGGAGGCAGCAGUGGGGAAUAUUGCACAAUGGGCGCAAGCCUGAUGCAGCGACGCCGCGUGGGGGAUGACGGCCUUCGGGUUGUAAACUCCUUUCGCUAGGGACGAAGCUUUUUGUGACGGUACCUAGAUAAGAAGCACCGGCUAACUACGUG